GAUGAACGCUGGCGGCGUGCCUAAUACAUGCAAGUCGAGCGAACGGACGAGAAGCUUGCUUCUCUGAUGUUAGCGGCGGACGGGUGAGUAACACGUGGAUAACCUACCUAUAAGACUGGGAUAACUUCGGGAAACCGGAGCUAAUACCGGAUAAUAUUUUGAACCGCAUGGUUCAAAAGUGAAAGACGGUCUUGCUGUCACUUAUAGAUGGAUCCGCGCUGCAUUAGCUAGUUGGUAAGGUAACGGCUUACCAAGGCAACGAUGCAUAGCCGACCUGAGUGGGUGAUCGGCCACACUGGAACUGAGACACGGUCCAGACUCCUACGGGAGGCAGCAGUAGGGAAUCUUCCGCAAUGGGCGAAAGCCUGACGGAGCAACGCCGCGUGAGUGAUGAAGGUCUUCGGAUCGUAAAACUCUGUUAUUAGGGAAGAACAUAUGUGUAAGUAACUGUGCACAUCUUGACGGUACCUAAUCAGAAAGCCACGGCUAACUACGUGCCAGCAGCCGCGGUAAUACGUAGGUGGCAAGCGUUAUCCGGAAUUAUUGGGCGUAAAGCGCGCGUAGGCGGUUUUUUAAGUCUGAUGUGAAAGCCCACGGCUCAACCGUGGAGGGUCAUUGGAAACUGGAAAACUUGAGUGCAGAAGAGGAAAGUGGAAUUCCAUGUGUAGCGGUGAAAUGCGCAGAGAUAUGGAGGAACACCAGUGGCGAAGGCGACUUUCUGGUCUGUAACUGACGCUGAUGUGCGAAAGCGUGGGGAUCAAACAGGAUUAGAUACCCUGGUAGUCCACGCCGUAAACGAUGAGUGCUAAGUGUUAGGGGGUUUCCGCCCCUUAGUGCUGCAGCUAACACAUUAAGCACUCCGCCUGGGGAGUACGACCGCAAGGUUGAAACUCAAAGGAAUUGACGGGGACCCGCACAAGCGGUGGAGCAUGUGGUUUAAUUCGAAGCAACGCGAAGAACCUUACCAAAUCUUGACAUCCUUUGACAACUCUAGAGAUAGAGCCUUCCCCUUCGGGGGACAAAGUGACAGGUGGUGCAUGGUUGUCGUCAGCUCGUGUCGUGAGAUGUUGGGUUAAGUCCCGCAACGAGCGCAACCCUUAAGCUUAGUUGCCAUCAUUAAGUUGGGCACUCUAAGUUGACUGCCGGUGACAAACCGGAGGAAGGUGGGGAUGACGUCAAAUCAUCAUGCCCCUUAUGAUUUGGGCUACACACGUGCUACGAUGGACAAUACAAAGGGCAGCGAAACCGCGAGGUCAAGCAAAUCCCAUAAAGUUGUUCUCAGUUCGGAUUGUAGUCUGCAACUCGACUACAUGAAGCUGGAAUCGCUAGUAAUCGUAGAUCAGCAUGCUACGGUGAAUACGUUCCCGGGUCU
Molecule: ribosomal RNA, 1372 nt
Filed under: uncultured bacterium
Lineage: Bacteria
Description: bacterial SSU rRNA
Rfam family: Bacterial small subunit ribosomal RNA
Source: RNAcentral